RNAcentral lists this ribosomal RNA (269 nucleotides) under Streptomyces scabiei. RNAcentral's name for it is "partial 16S ribosomal RNA". It matches the Rfam family "Bacterial small subunit ribosomal RNA", at positions 231 to 512 of the family's 1533-position model. Lineage: Bacteria; Bacillati; Actinomycetota; Actinomycetes; Kitasatosporales; Streptomycetaceae. The record is from RNAcentral.
CCGCGGCCUAUCAGCUUGUUGGUGAGGUAACGGCUCACCAAGGCGACGACGGGUAGCCGGCCUGAGAGGGCGACCGGCCACACUGGGACUGAGACACGGCCCAGACUCCUACGGGAGGCAGCAGUGGGGAAUAUUGCACAAUGGGCGAAAGCCUGAUGCAGCGACGCCGCGUGAGGGAUGACGGCCUUCGGGUUGUAAACCUCUUUCAGCAGGGAAGAAGCGAAAGUGACGGUACCUGCAGAAGAAGCGCCGGCUAACUACGUGCCAGC